This is a long non-coding RNA of Cygnus olor (mute swan), 2123 nucleotides long. RefSeq lists it as uncharacterized. The transcript has 3 exons. The record is from RefSeq and is a predicted model, not a curated record. Lineage: Eukaryota; Metazoa; Chordata; Aves; Anseriformes; Anatidae.
CCAAUAUUAAAGGAGCGAUCUCUCAUACCCAUCAGGCCAAGAUACUUGUGAUCUCCAGAGACUAACUCAUCAGCUGAGGAUUGCCUAAGCAUAAUGGCAUUUCUGUCUUAUCUUCAUUCUUUCUUUCACGUCUUCUACCACUUGUGGUGGAGUGGCUCAGGCCCUGACACUGGCUCUCCCACCAGUCAGCACCCACCACGCACUGGGGAGAGCCUUCGGCCUCACCGAUCCCCUGUGCCGCAGUCACACUUCAAGGUUGUGGAGCACAGGCAGCUUCAAGACAACAUUUUCAGAGGAAGACAGCAUAAGUUAAAACCCAUGUUCCCAGGCAGGGCAUUUCUCAAAAGUGGCCAGGGAAAGAAAACUGGGUUGAUUUUUCCUCUCAGGCAACCAACAAGAAUGAUGGAUACCAUGAACGGAUCCCUACAGUAGAGGGCAGGACCAGAUCCUGUCCUCAGCGAGUCCUGCAUCCUUGAGACAAGCGCUCUGCCACGCUUUAAGAAGUAAGAAGCUGGAUUUGAAUUCAGUUUGGUCAUAUGUCAAGCCUUGCUGCCAUAACAGAACAGGAAGGCAAGCCUUUCUCGGUUUGCCCCUCCGUGCUACAUUUUGUGUUGUAUCCACAAAUGUAGUCUCUGUAAUAAAUACAGUCUUGUGGUACAGCUUUCCUAAACAUACUAAGCUGUUCCUAAAAUACUGAUAUGGAGAAAAAUGCAGUCUUUGUGAUGUUUCUUUUCUCCAAUUUUUUUCACACUGCUAGAAGAAGACUGCUACCACCUUAAUUAAAAUGUAUUGCCUACCACAAGACUUCACUAUUUUAAGAUAAAAUUUACAUCUUUUAUUAACUCACCUCACCUAUACACUUAGCUCACAAUGCCUCUCAACGCCCAUCUGCCAUCCGUGUACAGUAAGUCACUUGAUAUUCCACCCACCAAUUUUUCCUAACAACCACUGUGCAAUUAAACUCAACACGUUCUGUUGCGAGGUAAAUUAGGCACACCUGCGGCCAGACUUCAUUUGAACUGCAUCAGAAAAGGACCUAACAAGGUGAGAGCGUACCACAAAGUUAUAGUCCUGUCAAGCAAUUAGGUUUUCACUUCUGGGACAUCCGCACAGUGCAAUUAUGCUACACAUUACAACCUGGCUAAUCUUCUGAACAAAUGUCAUGUCUCAGAGAAGCUAGUAAAAGCAGUUCAUCUGCAAAUGUGUCUGCUCUUAAGCCUCCACCUUAUGCACAUAACAACCUACAGGAGACUUUUUUGUGAUAUGAAAGAUGUUUUUUUCCAUAGGAGAUUUUUAAAACCCUGCAAGUGCCUUUUCAUCCUUUUCACCUCUUCUUAACCUUUUUGAAAGGAGGUGUUGCAGCAAAUAGACUAGAAAGACUUUUGUACUUGAAUUUCAACACUAAGCAAGCAAGAAAGUACUUGGUAUUAUAAGCAUAACUGGUGUCUUUAGUUUGUUUUGAUUCAAAUAUUGUUUGGCUAAAUAAAUAUUUGUUGUGGAAAGCCACCUAAUAUACAUCAUAGAAACAUCAUUAUUAAAGUAUAUCUCCAUGAGACCCUAAACAGAAAUUUCAUUCAUGCAAGUAAACACCAGUAGGAAGUAUAUGUUUCAUUCUUUUUAUUUCAUAUACUGAGUAUGAGAUGCCAGCAUCCUAAACCAAAAUAAGCACUGACAACAUACGAGCAGUCAGACCACUGCUAAGGAAGAAAGCUUGAAUGUGCAGUUACAAAUAGCCUCCGCCCCUUCAUUAAAUAAGAUUUUCCCAACUUCAGAUUCAAAAGGGACAGAAGACACAAUACUUCAUCAGCUUUGCUGGCACAAUUUUUACUCCAAUAAUUCUGUUUCAUUUUCAUCUGUAUUUCAGGUACGCAGUUAGCAUGUUCAAUUAAGCCUACAGAUAAGAUAUUACUAUACUACAAAAUACAGAAUUGUUAUGAUAUGACAAGCCUGCUCUACUUCCAUGGGUAAAAAAACCUCAGAUUUGGAUCAUUAUCUGCAAUUCUGAAGUUCUUUGGAACAGGAGCUGUCCACAGGGGCACAAUGAUGCUCCAGGGUGGGGGCAAGAGAGAGCAGCAGAAGAGAAGACAUUUGAAGUCAAAUGGUAAUUCUCAUCCUUUACUCUA